This 22-nucleotide microRNA is filed under the name Cynara cardunculus (cardoon). RNAcentral's name for it is "cca-miR393". Its record names the gene cca-miR393. The record is from miRBase by way of RNAcentral. Lineage: Eukaryota; Viridiplantae; Streptophyta; Magnoliopsida; Asterales; Asteraceae.
UCCAAAGGAAUCGCAUUGAUCC